Gasterosteus aculeatus aculeatus (three-spined stickleback) is the source of this 11673-nucleotide non-coding RNA. The record is from RefSeq and is a predicted model, not a curated record. NCBI's taxonomy places the organism in Eukaryota, Metazoa, Chordata, Actinopteri, Perciformes, Gasterosteidae.
GGGAGGAAACUGCGAAAAGAGAGAGAGAGAGAGAGAGAGAGAGAGACAGGGGGACAAAGAAGGACCAAUUUGAUUGACGUUGAAGUGUAGGUGCAGCUUUUCGGUCGUCCUAUCUUCCUCUCUUCCUUUCCCUCUCCCCUCUCCCCUUCACUCUUUUCAUCUCGGCUCCUCGGCCUACGGUGAAGCUUUGCCACAGAGCCGCGGUAUGUCCGGCCCACGUGAGAGGCCGAGGAUCAGAGGGCUGCUGCGCCGCUCGCCGGGUCCGACCAAGCGUCCGUGAUCUAUUCUGAGACCGGCUUAUGGUCGCAACAUCCAUCAAAAAUCAAUUAGGGCGUAGGUGCAAAGGUAACUAAGUCCUCUUAAUGCAGCCAGUGGUCAACAGAACAGGGACUCAUUUAAUGGCCAUAAAAAGGGGUCAAGGAAAGGUUGUGGUUUUAAGAAGAUUUAUUUUAAGGCCUUGUUGUUUCACAAGUCGAACAUUGUACGACUUCUUCAAAUGUUCCUCAGACUCAUUAUUCACUACAGUAAUAGGUAUGCACACAGUUCACACACACACACACACACACACACACACACGCUCUCUGGUGUGUGUUGCGAUUCCUCUUCUGUGUCAGUGUCAGAGCCAGCAAUGUUUCUGCCUGUCAGCCAGCGGGGCUGUCGGUUACUGGUUAUAUUUAGCUACAUGGUCUCCAGUGAACAAAGUGCAGUUACUCAAGAGUAAGUGUGUGUGUGUGUGUGUGUGUGUGUGUGUGUGUGUGUGUGUGUGUGUGUGUGUGUGUGUGUGUGUGUGUGUGUGUGCAUGUGUAUGUGUGUUCGCACGCGGACGUAGUUGUAUAUUACGUUAUCAUCCACACUAAAUACAACCACAUAAUCACAGUGUUUAUGGGUGAAUUAAAACCUAAACCUCAAACUAACUCAUGUGAAUUCAGAUAGUCUGAUAUAUGUGUGCGUGAGUGUGUGUGUUGGGGAGGUUGUGUGUCGUAAUCAGGGGUAACAUCACCAAGCUUAACAAAAACAAAACUGAUUAAACAUUUAGUUUUGAAUUGAAUUUUACACAAUAGUAAUAUUACUGAAAGUUUCUGUAGUUUGACUGAAUUCAUGUAGCUGCAAAAAUAAGUUUGCUACCUUCAAACCGCUUCCAAAUUCACCCCUCAUGAAUGCUGGUCCUGUUCAUUCAUUUAACUGAACACACAAACACGCGGUUACUUUCAAUCCUCCAACAACAUUACCAUUUAUGAAAACACAGUUUAUCCGUAAUGUUGGGGAACAUUGGUCCUGGCGAUUACAGUGUCUACUGACAGCUGUGUUCUACCAGUAAUUAGCAAAAACAAAUCUUAUUGGACAACUUGCAUCGCUAACGGCGAUUAAGGCCACCGGGACUGUUGGGGGAGACCUUUUAUCCCACCAAUACAAAUAUUCAAAAACCUGUUUCCCCGAUUGCACGCGGAAACGCCUGAACGUAUGCGUAUGCGUGUUUGGGGAAACCGCUUGCACGGCGGGACUCACAUCCUGCAUGUCGACGCCGGGCGUGGUCAGCACGCGCAUGCAUGUACGCACAGGCCGCACAACUGUGGAUACACGUUGGUCUUCCUCACAAUCUGACACCUGCCGCUGCUGUUGCAGAAUAAUCACUGCCCAUUUAUGGCCAUUAUUGUUAUAUAGGACAAGACUUGUUGGCCUCACGAGUCCACGGGUUCCUUUAAGUAGUGGCUCUGAAAAGGCACCGCAAACAUAAAUACAUGUUUGUUUCAGAGUUUAUCAAGGUAACAUAUCAAGUGAGAGGAAGAGCCGUUAUACCACUGUGUCUUUUCCAUGCCACGUUUGAAUGUUUUUCUCAGUCACUUCAUCUUUUCAACACCACAAUGCCCAGACCAUAUCCUCAAAUCGAGUACGGUCAUUCUUUUUUCUUCCCCCCCCCCGAGCGCGUGAAGCCGGUGCAGGCGAUUCUAUUUCGGUGGUGCGAAGGCUUGCCACCUCUAAGCCGCUGUCUAUGUAUAGAGCACAGCGAACCAGGGCGCGGGGCGCCGACGCGGAGUCAACGGGAAUCACGCGGCCCCUCCAGGCGCGGAGGCCGCGACUCAAAAAGACGAGAAGAAAAGAAUGGUCGCACACAAGGAGUUUGUCUCUUGAGAUGAGAGGGGAACACUUGUCAGUGUCCUUCUGAUAAAAGCCAAUGAAUGGAGCCGACCCCCCUCCCGCCCCCCCUCACCCCUGCUGAGGAAGAGGUCGCCGUUUAUUGAGCUUCGCCUAGAACGUGGAGCGCCCCGUAAAAAGAGCUGCUGCGCCCCUGGACAAUAAAUCAGACAUGGCCGCCGCCGCCAGCUGGUGGAGAAGCUGUGUCCUUUUCACGUGACGCACCUGGCGACGCCCCGACGCGCUCGUGCUCUUGGGAGUUCAACGAGCGUUCAAUGAAUGCUGAUCUUUAAAUAAGUGGUGUUAUUAAUCAGCCGUGGCAUCAUCGCAAAAUAAUCUAGCGAGCGUUCGUGGAAUUGAAAGAAGUUCUCACUCGGUGACUCAUGUGUUAUUACAAUGGGAGCUCUAUGUCCCGGUGAAUUAAGCUAUAUCAAUAUUUGUGUGCACAGGUAGUACUUACCGUCUAAAUAAAGUCAAGUCGCCGUUGGUUUAGUUGGUUUAGUUGGUUUAGUUGACAAAAAGAAGGAUAUCACCGAGAGGCGGAUGAUUUGGUUUAACCUUUCCAUGCUCUUUUUGUGUUGCCACUCAUGCCAACAAUGAAAGCAAUAUUAACACAUUCUCGAGAUCAUUUGUCACCGUGUGUUAUAAUAACAAUUGUGACAACCGUAAUCUCUCGUUCUGCCUGUAUCUUUCCUCUGAAUAACAACUUGUUUACUGCGAUAGUUUUGAUUUGCUCCAUCGGUUUCAGAGUGUGCUGCUCCAUGACCACCAUCCCUCUCAUCUUCUUCCCACAUCUCUCACCUCCCAGAAUACAUUGCUGCCUCUCUGUGACGUUAUGUGCGUCUGUGUGCGUCUGUGUGUGUGUGUGUGUGUGUGUGUGUACGCCUGUGUAACAUCACCUCGGCCCCUUCAUGGCAGAUGCCACAUUCUAAGUGUAUCUGUGAAGUACGAGAAAGUCUCUUUGUGUGCAUGCAUGUGUGUAUGGACGUGUCUCUGUGUGUGCGUGUGUGUGCGUGUGUGUGUGUGUGUGUGUGUGGGGAGGAUGGGGGGGGGGGGCUUCCGGGAACUUUUACCCUGGACCAAGUCGAGCCUCUUCUUUAAAUGAAUUGCGUUGCAAUAUGUUGCAGCAUAUGUCCAAACUAUUGUACAUAUAUGAUUCAGUCUUUGUACGUUGAUAUUUACUGUGUGAGUUUACAUUGUAAUUUAGUAUUUAAUAUCAAGAUAAUCAGAUAACCCAGUUAGGAUUCACUUUGAUUCCCAUUAGUCAUCAGAAAAUAUUAGAUUUCAACAUAUGCAAUUACCUAUUUUGGAAUUCGGUACGUUGUGUUGGGCUUUGUAGUUAUUUCAAUGUCAUAUGACCUUUCUGACUUUUGGUACCUUUUGGCUCAAAGAGAAGCACUGGUGUCGUUUGUCAGCUGCUGUUGUCCAACUUCACAUCUGAAUUCUCGUCAUUGUGGGUGUUAUUCCAGCAUUUGACAUUAAUCAAUUUGGAUUUUUGAAAUUCAUUUUUAUUUCAAAUGCUACCGUCUACUUGUACUGUGGUGGAAAGGUGGACGAGUGGCCCCGAACCCACUUUCAAAUGUGCCAACGUAUGAGUGAACCAGAUGGUGCUUAUAAAGGGAACUGUUUUGUAUCUUCCUUUUCACUUCACCUCCGGCCCGCUUCCAUUUCUUGUCUUCUUGACUGUCUUCAAUUCUUGCCUCACAGGGGAAGUGUGUGUUUUUAUUUUUAUUUCAGACAGCCGGCUCGACUUGAAUCUGAAACAGCUUUUCUUACUGGAAUAGAGUCCAAUUGGCUGCCGUUUGUGUUCUUCCGCGUGCUGAAACGUGAAAGGACUUUGAGGUUGUGAGAGUGUGCAAAAAAAAAGAGCCAUGACAAAUGGGACCAGAGCAAACUUUAGAACCCACCAGAUAAAAACAAUUACACACACACACACAGACACACACUAGUCUCUCUGUCUCUGUCUCUUCCAUUAAUCCAAAAUGAUUGUGUCACAGUGGGAAUCACUUUCCAAUCUAGACUUAAAUCCUAUUUCUAAGUAAAAAGACGGGACGCUGUUUCUCAAGCCAAAAAAAGAUUAUCCUAAAAACCUUAAUACUCAUGACGUAAUCACUGGCUGCAGCGUUAGGACGAGAGUGUGAUGUCACACUUUUGUUCCUCAUCCACUUGUCCCAGUUGCACGUGCCAAGAAAGACCCCCCUCCCCACACCCACCCCUCCUACCACUCCAGUGCUGAGCCUCGCCUGCUGGGACAUUAUAACUCACUUCUACCCAUAUAAUUAAAAAUGCACACCAGAUUUACUUGACUGUGUAUACACACCCAGCUCACAAAAACGCAUGUAGCUGUUUUUUUCUUAAAAUCACAGCAAUAGACGUGCACAAUGUUGUAAACAUGUAAUGCUAGAGGCCUGUGGGACAUCCAUCUUGUCAUUUCAUUCUUGUAAUUUACAAAAACAGGGAGAGGAACUUGUGGAAUCCAGGAGAAUAAGAGCAAUCUCACCCAGAGAGCGUGACCUCCCGAGCUUGUUGGACCGCAUUGCGUGCGUGUGUUUCUGCUUCUGCUCAGUCUCACGUGGACCCUCGGGAGCGAUUGCGCUGUGCGUCUGUCCAACGUGCACGCCGAGCAUUCCACCAUUGUGUUUUCGGUGAAUGCGGCAGAACGCUGGAGCUGUGUGAGGUCAUCUGUGAUUUUCCAACGUGUUGAAAGGGAGAAGGGGCAGCAGGGCAGGAAGAAGGAGCGUGCGGGAGGUGGGGCGAGGUUCUGUCUUACCUCAUCCGGACUCGCCGGCUGACGCCCCCCCCCCGACCUCCCCCACCUCCCCCGGUGCCUUCGGUGCUCAUGGGACGAUUGUUGAUCUCCACACAAUGAGAUCACGGCAACAGCGGAACAAAGGCUCUCUGUCAUGAAUUGUCCUCUGUGUGAAAGCCCGAAGGCGUUUCUGUUGUCAUUAUCGUUGGAUUUGAAAAUUUAUCAGAUAUUCUACGAUGGAAAUGUUUAGAAGGUCGUCUUUAAUCUCUAUCAUCUCUAUUUUAAACUCUUUUAUUUUCUAUGGCCACUACUUUAACAAGCAGCUGUCCCUGCUUGGAUUUUAAAACUUCCUCAGAACUGUAUACGUAACAUUUUAUUACAGCUUUCAGUGCAAACAUAUACAUCAUCUUUAGGAGCCUCCAGGAGCCAAAAUAAAGAGAAGUCCUGUCUGAGGUUAAGUAGUCGUACCUUUAUGUUUGUGUGAGUGUGCGUUGCUGGAAUAAAUGUGUACACUUUAAACUCCUCGGUGAAAAUACACAGCAAUAACUUCUCAUACAAAUAGUUAUUCACCUCUUCUCAGGGCCAUACACACACACACACAGACUCUAAGUCACUGGAUACCAUUAAAAACCAGUGCAUUUAUGGUCCCCAGAGGAUGAAUUGUAAUGACUUUGACUUCCUGACUGCCUUCAUUAAGCGCAAUCAUCAAGUCAAAACGUAUGACCAACAGCCUCAGCUGCACAUGUUCACACACUAGACUAAGAUGACACGAGAAACAUUUGCAUUGUGUGACUUGUUAGCUAUGCGAUGGUUUACCGCUCUGCCAAACCGUCUGACGGUGGUUUAAAACUAAUGGUGAAUGGAUUUGAAUCAGAGUACCUAAAGGGAUAGUUGGCAUGUGAAUCCACUGUGUGCGGGUGAAUUCCUCACUUGCCACCGGACGUUGAUGGCUUCGUCGCAGUGGAAAAAAACCUCCAUCGCGGCGAUUAAACCCUUCGUCCUCCAGCGGCGGUACAGUCGUGCGGUUAUCGGAAAUGACACGAGCGGCUGUUGAAGUAGCUUUGAUCGGAGAGAGAGCUCUGAGAGCCGCGUUGAUCGUUGCCACAUUGCCACAGCAACAAUGGCUCUUGUUGUUACCAGGUAGCCAGACUGGGAUUUAAGUCCUUCACUGUGAUGACAGUGUGUGAACCUCAGCUAUGCGCUGAACAUCUGAUAUCCCCGUACCGCCCUCACUGUUAUUACAGAGAAUAUUAUCUUGCUUUUUAUCACUGUGGUAAAUUAACUUCCCUUAACUUCACAAAAGACAGGGACACUGUAUGUUUCCGCUGUGUGCGUUUGCGUGCCAGUGACACGAGAGUGUUGCAGCAUCACUGGCAUGUACAGGUACAUCUUGAGAUAUGUAGGUCGGUAUGCGUGUGUGCACAUGUUCAAACAGUCAAAAACAGUCAGGGCGUUCCUUUGGCUUAUCCACAUUACGUGCAUCAGGCACACUUCUGUUGCCUCUGUGAUCAAAUACAUGCACAAAGCAACAGAGUCAAGCGUGUGUGUGUGUGUGUGUGUGUGUGUGUGUGUGUGUGUGUGUGUGUGUGUGUGUGUGGACUGGCUGGUAGAACCGGAGUCCCAGGUGCAGGUGACUGUUGUGUACCGCCACCUGUCACGUCCUGCGUAAACAACGUGCUGGCAGGGAUUGAAAUCCUACACCGCCGCGCAGCCGUCGAUCGGACGUCUCAUGCACAGACGCGGCGUGCAAACGCGCAUUCGAUUUGGGAUGCAGCUUUGGCACAAAACAGCGGAAUUCUUGGAACUUGGGAAGCGGGUAAUGCCCACACGCACACCAACACAGAGGAAGGAAGUGCGUGCGUGUGUGUGUGUGUGUGUGUGUGUGGGUGGGUGCGUGCGUGUGUGCUCUGGAUGUCGAUGAAGGCCGAGUCAUUAGAGCGUGCAGAAGAAAUGGCCUGCGAUAUCGCACAUGGCUGAGGGCCGGGGGCUUGAAUGCCUGAGACUUGAGCUUCGCCUCAUCCGUUGCUACUUUUUCCUCCUUUUUUUUUUUUUUUCUUCAAACGCCGGCAGUGAAAGAGAUACCGUUCUCUCAUUGGACCUCUUCACGCCACACCUCAGCCCCCUCAGGCACCGCUCCAAAAACACAGGCGCACAAACUGUGCUGGACAGCUAUUUACAGUACAGUAUAAAACGUGUACACACACACACACACACGCUCGCAUCCUGCAGCAGGGUGCCCCUUCCACUCUCCUCCCGCCAUGUUUGUUUUGGACACACUGGCCCUCUCUCUAAUGUUGUGGCAAUCUGACUUUAAGGAUCAAUCACUGAUAAUUACGCCAAACUGCAAACAUUGUCGGGACACCGUUGUGUAAUCAGGGCGGUUGUUACUCUGAGGCUACAUGACUCGUGAAUGUAACUAUCUACCAGUUGUGUUGUUGUAUUUGAUGCUUCAUUGAGUUUGGGGCUUAUACAUGAUAGUAUACUUAUACCUGUAGUAUGAAAAACACACACACACACACACACACACAAAACCAAAACGAGUAACAGUGAUUUUGAUGUGACAUUAUGUGAGAUGCCGUGUGUCAGGUAACCACGGCUGAACGAUCCACAAUCCCUUCUUCGCUCCGCAUUGAAUGAAAGAAGUCGAACAAAAACAACAGGAUAUUUUUCCACGAUCGAAACAUUUCGACCUUAAAGUACGUUUGUUCUCAGCCGUCCUGGUGAAUGCUGCGCUGCAGCCUCUGGUAAAAGAGUAUUCCUAGUCUUUAUUGCUGUGAAACACUUGAACUAUCUCACGAUCUGAACCUUGUUUCAUGCUUAUUUCCCUCUUGUAAUGACCCGUGUGCUGCUGCUCUGGAGACAACAUUCCUUCAGAGGGAAGGUCUGCAACCGGCUCCCACAUGAGCAAACAUCUGCACCCCUGAGGGGUCCUUGAGCAACUCACUGUUCUCCUGAAGGGUGGCAGCCAGAAGACAGCAUGACGUCGUACCACUUGGAUACGUCGGAUUCAUUGCCGAAACUUACCUGGUAUUCAUUUGUUUUUUCAAGUAAAGAGUAAAUUCCAUUAUGUCAAACGGCAGAAAGCAACACAAAGAAUUCCAGAUAUCGCUACCGUGUUCUUACCCACAAAGACUCUUUGACAUCGCAUCGUGCCCUUUCCAAACAUGCCUUCCCUGGGAUAAAAUCUUUCAGCAAACACUCAACAAUGACUAGAGUAUUUUUACAACUCCACAAAUCAUCCUGGAAGGAGGCGGGGGCCCUUUUUUACAAGCCAUUGUGUGAAGCAACCAUCGUUACCAUUGUACGUGUGCGUAUGUGUGUGUGUGUUUAGUUGGUAAGUAAUGGGAAUCCACUGGUUUCCUAAUAUAUAUUUUCGAACAGCUCGCAGAGUAAUUUUCUUAAAGAAAAAAAGUGUGUAAACUGGAUUUGAUGUGCAUGAAAAUACCACCCAGCUGCAGACAUACAUUCUAGUUUGGACAUAUCAACAAAUGCUUGCUUCUGUUGUGGAUGAAGUUAAGAGAAUCUGCGACACGGGUGAAAAGCAGUUGCCUUUUGCCUUUAAAUUGAAGCACGAAGUCAAGAUUAAAUCCUCCGUCAUUAUAAUCAGCCUCAGACGACGUCUGACUGAGCUGCAUAUUCAAGAGAUUUGCAUUUGCUAGGAGGCCGCGUGGUAACUAAGGCUGCUCGUACUUAUCAUUCCUGCUUGUCGGCGCUGAAGUUAAGCGAAGUGGCGACCUCGGACACGAGUAACAACGCGUCUGUUUGCGUGUGUGUUUUGGUAGCGUUUCCAUGGCCGGACGCACCGACGGGGCACGUGUUCUCGAAGGUAUUUAGCAUGCCAAAGGAGGCUAUAACAGUGCACGGCACAUGUCAAGCUCUUAUUCGGCAGGCUCUGAUGUCGUCUGAGGAGAACCAGGUGUUUAUGGGCUCUCCUUUCACACGUGGGCACACACGCAAACUACACACCGCCGGCACCUGCAGCUGAUGUCAAAGGGAUUUGAAAACCGGAUUGAAACCAAACCGUGUGCUUAGUCAUCUAAAUCAAAGUACUGGAGGUAAAAGCGCGCUUGACAUUUGUCUUGAGAUUGAUUUGAAUUGAUUGAUUGAAACUCUGCCGGUUGAAUCUUUGAAAAGAUGCCACGAGGUCCAGCUGGUGGAGACAUGUGCGAGAAUCUAUUUCCCCAUGUGUUCAUGGUCAGGAACGCAGGAGCGCCGACUGAUAUCAGAUCACUACCACUUCUUCUCUCCCUCGCACAGACCACUCAAAUGCACGCACAAAGACACACAACCACAACAUGCUGGAAUGGAGCAGUUACUCUCUACCUGUAUGUGUCAAAUCACUGUGUUUUGAAGAAAUGAAGACCAAUGACAUCACUUUAAAAAAGUGGGUCUAAUCACAUUUUAUAUGUCAGAGAAAACCGAUAAAGGCCGAAAAAUAUAGUGCGGAACUUUUGUGUUCAGGUUUUCUUUCAACAGGCGUGAAAUUAAAGCUUGAUGCCUUUCUGUGCGAUGGCUCCUUUCCAAUCAUCAUUUCUCAAAUGCACAAUUUAAAUAUUUCAUGCACGUUCAAGUUAUCAUUGGGCUACGCGGAAGAUGGAUGAAUCAGCCGGGGAAAGUCUCUGGUAGGCUUGUUAACAAAAAUCCAUAUCUCUGUUUGCUCAUAAAUCUCACACACACACACACACGCACACACACACACACACACACACACACACACACACACACGCACAUGGAGUUUUGUGUACAUCCUGCCCGGCAUUACUGAGGCUUCCAUCCUAUCUGUGCAACAGCUCGCCCUCCAUUGGAUGAAAGUGGGAGGAUAAAAAAGGCAAAGCGAGGACCAGCAAAUAGACAGAUGGAAGAUGUAAAGAGGGAGAACACACUGUCUCUCAUUAAGCCUUUCUAUCUGUUUCUCCAAGCCGAAUGGGGGAGGCAGAGACAAGAAGGAAAGCGAUGGUUUAUGUGAUUUUAAACAGUAGAAGUGAGUGGAAGAAGGGUCAAAGGGUGAAAAAGGACCCGGACGUGAUGUAACAGAAGAAUUGCGAUGAGGGUUCGGUUAGUUGUGUUAAAAGGACUCAGCGGGAUCGGGUUUGUUAGAGAAACUAAAAAUAAUGGCUAAACAGCUUUGGGUUUUGCUUAUUUACUCAUUGGCGUUUGUUGUUUCUGUGACCAUGGAAAACCAAAAGGUAAAGAUCAGCAUCAUCUUCAGAUGAGAUUACGUAACAUCUGGCUUGAAGAAUAAAAAGCGACGCACACGGCAAGUUAAGGUUUUCACUGUCGAGCCGGCUUUACUAAUUACAGCCCAGUCAGCAGGACGGUGGAUGGCCAAAGGGCAGAGAUCAAGGGUCAGUUGUAAGACCACUGCAUGUGUGAGUCAUGACACAAAUGGUGCAUGUGUGUAUGUGUGUGUGUAGGUAACAGCCUCGUCCCUGUUUUUCUUCUUGCAUGUCAAAGUUCACCCAAUAAGUGUAUUGACUCUGACUCACUUAGUUCGAUGCUGUGUGCACGUGUUGAGUUGUAUCCGCUGUUUGCAUCUCUAUUAACAUAAUGGGUCUUUUCACUUGCAUGUCCCCCCACCCACCUCCCCUCCCCCACGUCCCCCCGUCCUCUCAUCAGCCCACAGGUUGACAUUUACAUACAGACAAAUAACCUGAAGCGCAGCGGUAUGAGGACUGAACCGUCUCCCUAAAACAAACAAGUGCCAAACAAGUACAAGAGGUGUGACGCUCUGCUGGCACUCAGAGGUCAAUUCAAUCCUCACUUCUUGUGUACCUGUAGGGGCCACCAGCGAAAAAAAAGAAAACCCAAGUGCAUCUCUAACCUCAAGAAGUGUUCAGCUGUAACAUAUAGAUACGCUCUAACUUCCCGUCAGCACGCUGCAGAAUUUAAUAAGGAAAGCCACUGCGGCAGGAAGCAAUGUGAGUCAUUUCUUAAAAAACACACAUAACGCUCUUAGUUGCAGGCAACAGAACGGGCAUGUGUGAGGUAAGUCGUGAGUCGGACGCGGUUCUGCUGCCAGUCACGUCAGCAGGAGGAAACGCGACGGGUGUCUCUGCCCGGGGGGCCUCAACCUCGUCUUUGUGUCACUAUCGGUUUCUCUUCAUCUGCUUCUCCGCUUCCUUCGUGCUGCCUCACCCUAAAUGGCAGCUACAUAAAACAGGCAGAGGGAGCUUUUUGGAGAAAAAAAAAACAGCAACAAAGGAACCGAAGAGGAGCUGAAACAGACGGACGGAGCAAUGGAGGGACGGACCAACGGUAAAAAAAAAAAGUAAUUAGAAGAAAACCAGAGCUCCACUCCUAGUUGGGCCUCUUUUCCUAUUGGCCUUGAUGGCAACCAAUAGGAGCGCAGGGGAGGAGCACUUCCUGUUAGGUCAAGGGGGGAGGGAAGGGCGCUGGGGGGCUCCCAUGUGGUCUGGUGUAUAUUUGCGUGUGUCUAUGUGCAAUUAAAUGUGAACCGACUUGUGGUUUUUUGGGGGGCACAUCGGGGGCACAAAUGUACUUAAAUCCGUGGAUGUGGAGCAACACAUUCAAGUGUGUUGUAACUGUGUGUGCGGAGCGGUUGUGGGUGCGUGUACGUUGUGUGAUGGCCUUGGGUUUUGCAUCAGUGAAAUUCAGGAAUGGAAGUUUUACAUGCGUUAAGUCUAUGAAUACCACAUGUCCACAAUAAACACUGUGAGGAGAACUUCUGUCUACAGGGGUAAAGUUAAUUUACCCAGGUCAGCACUGGAGUCACAUUCUAUAUUAUCAUAAUAUUGUAUUGUAAUAUUGUAAUUAAACCUGGUUCAAGUGAA